GUUUGCUUGAUCGUGUGUUUUUGUGUUUGCUGUUAUGAAGUAGGUCGCAGUUAGCGUGCACAGAAGUGCCUGAAGAUACCUUGUGUCACGCUGCAAACUCGCCGUAUGCGUGGCGCGCCAGGCAAAUGUGGCCCAACGAUUUUAUGCCGUGGAGUGCGGUUUCUUUGUUCUCGUUCUGGAAAGUUGGGUGGACGUCGCAAAGAAUGUGUGUUAGCGCGCCUCAGCUCGUCCACUACGCAGCGGCAUGUAUGCGGGGAGUAACAUCGUCGACGCAGCACCGGCAACUUGGAGAGUGCUUCGCGACCGCGUCGUACCAUUCAAACGUGGCGAGGCUGUGACCCAUAACAGUGCCUACAUAACGGAGGAGCCACCAGACCCCUUGGCUAUGCCUGCCGUAGUGCAACGUAUAAUCUGGAUGGUCGGGUCAGGUACACCUAGGAAAUGUUGUAUACAUUGGCAACGAUAACUGGGGCCUGCUCCAGUGCCAUCGCCGGGAUUCCCUGUUCUGCAAAAAACUCACAUAACUGAUGUGGGGAGCCCUGGCGCUCGGUGUAGGAGUAUCACAGGGGCUCCUUGUCGGUGCUUGAAGGACGGCAAUGCUGUUGUGAAGCCGACAUUGAGCCCCGAUAAAUUGGAAGCUGUGGGUAGUUACCGCAUUAUUGACUUGGAAACCAGUGAGGUCUGGAUGCAAGUGAAGCUACCGAGGCAGGCAUGUGUGCAUCACUUGUGCUGCUGGCCAUCCUCUGCAAAAGUGAUGGCUGGCAGUCAGUGCUUGGAUGACUUUCUGUUACUCUACGCCUUGGGCUGUGUUGACUACUUCACACUUGCUGCCAUGUCAGCAAGCUUAGGCAAAAAGACCGGCUGGAUGCUUGGCAGGAGAUAGUAUCCAACCGCAGUGUUACUGUGUUGUGUUGUACAUUACAAAGUGAUGGAGGACAGUAUUUGUGCUGUUAUUAAGAAGUAUAAAUUGUGUUCUGCCAUUGAAAUAAGGGAACUCGACACAAAGCAAAAGAUUUCGAAGUCUGACCUACAUGGGAAAGCAAAAUAUAUUGUGUUGUAGUUGUAGCUGUUAGUAGAGUCUUAAUAUGCGAUAGAAGACCUUGAUGUUUAAUAGAAAAUAUAUUUAAGUGUGUUAUCAGUGUGUUAUCAGUGUUUAAGUUACUGUUAUGUGUCAUUUGUUUGUCAGGAUGAUGUAAGCAGACAGUAAAUAAAUGCAUGGUUUGAGAUUAUAACCAGGUUUGUCUAUGGCAUUCACUAUUAUUUAAGGUGGACCAAUGCAUAUUCAUGGGUGCAUAUUCAACCACCACAUUCCUCCUGCACAAACAAUUCCUACAUACUA
Dermacentor silvarum is the source of this 1339-nucleotide long non-coding RNA. RefSeq lists it as uncharacterized. The record is from RefSeq and is a predicted model, not a curated record. The transcript is spliced from 4 exons. NCBI's taxonomy places the organism in Eukaryota, Metazoa, Arthropoda, Arachnida, Ixodida, Ixodidae.